UAGGGGAUAUUGCAAAAUGGGCGAAAGCCUGAUGCAGCAACGCCGCGUGAGUGAUGAAGGCCUUCGGGUCGUAAAACUCUUUUGGAGGGGAUGAGGAAGGACAGUACCCUCCGAAUAAGCCUCGGCUAACUACGUGCCAGCAGCCGCGGUAAAACGUAGGAGGCGAGCGUUAUCCGGAUUUACUGGGUGUAAAGCGCGUGCAGGCGGUUGUGAAAGUUGGAUGUAAAAGCUCCCGGCUCAACUGGGAGAGGUCGUUCAAAACUUCGCAACUAGAGGCAGGUAGAGGAAGGCGGAAUUCCGGGUGUAGUGGUGAAAUGCGUAGAUAUCCGGAGGAACACCAGUGGCGAAAGCGGCCUUCUGGGCCUGAACUGACGCUCAGACGCGAAAGCUAGGGUAGCAAACGGG
Molecule: ribosomal RNA, 405 nt
Filed under: uncultured bacterium
Lineage: Bacteria
Description: bacterial SSU rRNA
Rfam family: Bacterial small subunit ribosomal RNA
Source: RNAcentral